CGCAUGUGUGUUAAUAAACCAAAUGUCUCCGAAUGAGUGAGAUUCGUAUGAAGGUUAUUCGAAUCAUUAUUAUCAUCAUGAUGGAGAAGUGGACGAUGAUCGAGUUGAAGAUCAUGGAUUGUACGGAAAAGUGGUCACGUGGGUUGUAUUUAUAUGUUAUAACGGUUAUUUUAACUAAGGAUGAAUGAUGUACUUAUUUAAAGAAGUCGUUUAAAUCGGUUUUCAUGUAUGUUAGAACAGUUAUAAAAAAAGAAAUUUUAAGACUCG
Long non-coding RNA from Helianthus annuus (common sunflower), 267 nucleotides. RefSeq lists it as uncharacterized. The transcript is spliced from 2 exons. The record is from RefSeq and is a predicted model, not a curated record. NCBI's taxonomy places the organism in Eukaryota, Viridiplantae, Streptophyta, Magnoliopsida, Asterales, Asteraceae.